GCAUAUCAAUAAGCGGAGGAAAAGGAACCAACAGGGAUUGCCUCAGUAACGGCGAGUGAAGCGGCAACAGCUCAAAUUUGAAAUCUGGUCCCCUCUGGGGGCCCGAGUUGUAAUUUGAAGAGGAUGCUUUUGGCGAGGCGCCUUCCGAGUGCCCUGGAACGGGACGCCACAGAGGGUGAGAGCCCCGUAUGGUAGGACGCCGAGCCUCUGUAAAGCUCCUUCGACGAGUCGAGUAGUUUGGGAAUGCUGCUCAAAAUGGGAGGUAAACCCCUUCUAAAGCUAAAUAUUGGCCAGAGACCGAUAGCGCACAAGUAGAGUGAUCGAAAGAUGAAAAGCACUUUGAAAAGAGAGUUAAACAGCACGUGAAAUUGUUGAAAGGGAAGCGCUUGCGACCAGACUUGCGCCCGUCGGAUCAACCGUCCCUCGUGGGCGGCGCACUCCGGCGGGCUCAGGCCAGCAUCAGUUUUCCUGGGGGUAGAAAGGCGGUGGGAAUGUAGCUCUUCGGAGUGUUAUAGCCCGCCGCGUAAUGCCCUCGGGGGGACUGAGGACCGCGCGUAUGCAAGGAUGCUGGCGUAAUGGUCGUCAGCGACCCGUCUUGAAACACGGACCAAGGAGUCGUCCUAAUAUGCGAGUGUACGGGUGUAAAACCCCUGCGCGUAAUGAAAGUGAACGGAGGUGAGAGCUUCGGCGCAUCAUCGACCGAUCCUGAUGUUCUCGGAUGGAUUUGAGUAAGAGCAUAUUGGGCCGGACCCGAAAGAAGGUGAACUAUGCCUGUAUAGGGUGAAGCCAGAGGAAACUCUGGUGGAGGCUCGCAGCGGUUCUGACGUGCAAAUCGAUCGUCAAAUAUGGGCAUGGGGGCGAAAGACUAAUCGAACCUUCUAGU
This 883-nucleotide ribosomal RNA is filed under the name Cephalotrichum gorgonifer. RNAcentral describes it as "partial 28S ribosomal RNA". It matches the Rfam family "Eukaryotic large subunit ribosomal RNA", at positions 38 to 948 of the family's 3401-position model. The record is from RNAcentral. Lineage: Eukaryota; Fungi; Ascomycota; Sordariomycetes; Microascales; Microascaceae.